AGGACGAACGCUGGCGGCGUGCCUAACACAUGCAAGUCGAACGAGGUCCAACCGGUAGCAAUACCGGUGAAGACCAAGUGGCGAACGGGUGAGUAGCACGUGAGCAACCUGCCCCGAAGACCGGGACAACACCGGGAAACCGGUGCUAAUACCGGAUAUCCCCACCGAGUCGCAUGGCUUGGUGAGGAAAUGGAUUCCGCUUCGGGAGGGGCUCGCGGCCUAUCAGCUUGUUGGUGAGGUAACGGCUCACCAAGGCUUCGACGGGUAGCUGGUCUGAGAGGACGAUCAGCCACACUGGGACUGAGACACGGCCCAGACUCCUACGGGAGGCAGCAGUGGGGAAUCUUGCACAAUGGGCGAAAGCCUGAUGCAGCAACGCCGCGUGAGGGACGAAGGCUUUCUGAGUUGUAAACCUCUUUCAGCAGGGACGAUUGUGACGGUACCUGCAGAAGAGCCCCGGCCAACUACGCGCCAGCGAGCCGCGGU
Molecule: ribosomal RNA, 486 nt
Filed under: uncultured bacterium
Lineage: Bacteria
Description: SSU rRNA
Rfam family: Bacterial small subunit ribosomal RNA
Source: RNAcentral